RNAcentral lists this long non-coding RNA (968 nucleotides) under Zea mays. RNAcentral's name for it is "long non-coding RNA (ZMAY_LNC001067)". The record is from RNAcentral. Lineage: Eukaryota; Viridiplantae; Streptophyta; Magnoliopsida; Poales; Poaceae.
CUUAAUUAAUAACUGGUUGUACUACAGCUGUGAAUUCCAGAGAGCACAGGGUCUACUACGCAAAUAGUUUCAAGGCUCAGGACUGGACCGCUGGUUGUUUUUAAGUAAACUGAGGGGUUCAUAUGAAAAAGUACGCCUGCGAAGGGGUACGCGCCGAUAACAGCCAUCCGAUCAAUAACAGAGCGCUAGGAUUAGAUUUAUUUUAAAACGAACCGGUAUAUGAUCCGGGCAACCCCAUCACACGAUCCACGACCCUGAUAUCACGGCGCCAAGAUCUGCCUCUGGCCGUCUGAUCCUAUACCUACGACUAAGAUCUUAUUAGGUGAAGGGGUAUGUCUCGCUUUAAUCCUGGUCGUACGUCCAAGAUCCAAUGGUCCCGCAUCCUCCUUCUUCCCCCCAACGUCGGCCGAUGGCAUGUCUAGCAUAGCCGGCGGGGCCAUUGCCGCCCACGACCAUCCAUUGGCCCGGCACCCAGACUCCAUCGUCGACCAUUCCUACACACAGUUGAGAUCAACGUGAGUAUACCAGAGAGGAUUCUUACCGGCAGUGGCGGCAGAAACAGGCUCCCUACGGCGUUGGGCGGAUCUGGGAUGCCAAAAUUGCUCCGGCGAGCAAUUCCCACGGUUCCAGUGAACCCCCGUGCUCAGAAAUACCCCGCGCACACGCGUCAGGGGCCAUUGGCUUAUCUCCACGCCAUAGCGCAAGCUUUUCGUGGUUGUGGGCCGAACUGGCAUGCGACGACACUCAGCUCUCGCUUCGCCUCUUGGAGUGAGCUCCCAGCAAUGGCAGCCCCUGGUGUUCCAUUUUCUAGGUGCGAUGGAUCGGUCGUGGGGUACGAGAGGAGUGCGGCACAAGGUUUUAUAGCCCGAGGUGGUAGGGAUUUCGGGCGCGGUUUGUUGGAUCGCCGGGAGGGGAACGAGCUACGGUAGACUCGGAAGAUCCCAACGGACCGGUCUAGAAGAAAGAGC